UUGAUCAGUGGCGAACGGGUGAGUAACACGUGAKAACCUGCCCCAGACUCUGGGAUAACUUCGGGAAAUCGGAGCUAAUACCGGAUAUGAGACGUCCUCGCAUGGGGAGCGUCUGGAAAGAUUUAUCGGUCUGGGAUGGACUCGCGGCCUAUCAGCUAGUUGGUGAGGUAAUGGCUCACCAAGGCGACGACGGGUAGCCGGCCUGAGAGGGCGACCGGCCACACUGGGACUGAGAUACGGCCCAGACUCCUACGGGAGGCAGCAGUGGGGAAUAUUGCACAAUGGGCGAAAGUGAUGCAGCGACGCCGCGUGAGGGAUGAAGGCCUUCGGGUUGUAAACCUCUUUCAGCAGGGAAGAAGCGMCUGGGUUUUCUCAAUCGUGACGRKACCUGCAGAAGAAGCGCCGACUAACUACGUGCCAACAGCCGCGGUAAUACGUAGGGCGCAAGCGUUGUCCGGAAUUAUUGGGCGUAAAGAGCUCGUAGGCGGUCUGUCGCGUCUGUUGUGAAAACUCGAGGCUCAACCUCGGGCUUGCAGUGGAUACGGGCAGACUAGAGUGCGGUAGGGGAGACUGGAAUUCCUGGUGUAGCGGUGGAAUGCGCAGAUAUCAGGAGGAACACCGAUGGCGAAGGCAGGUCUCUGGGCCGCAACUGACGCUGAGGAGCGAAAGCAUGGGGAGCGAACAGGAUUAGAUACCCUGGUAGUCCAUGCCGUAAACGUUGGGCACUAGGUGUGGGGCUCAUUCCACGAGUUCCGUGCCGCACGAACGCAUUAAGUGCCCGCCUGGGGAGUACGGCCGCAAGGCUAAAACUCAAAGAAAUUGACGGGGGCCGCACAAGCGGCGGAGCAUGCGGAUUAAUUCGAUGCAACGCGAAGAACCUUACCAAGGCUUGACAUAUACCGGAAAAGUGCAGAGAUGUGCUCCCCGCAAGGUCGGUAUACAGGUGGUGCAUGGUUGUCGUCAGCUCGUGUCGUGAGAUGUUGGGUUAAGUCCCGCAACGAGCGCAACCCUCGUCCUAUGUUGCCAGCGGGUCAUGCCGGGGACUCAUAGGAGACUGCCGGGGUCAACUCGGAGGAAGGUGGGGAUGACGUCAAAUCAUCAUGCCCCUUAUGUCUUGGGUUCACGCAUGCUACAAUGGCCGGUACAAAGGGCUSGAUACCGCAAGGUGGAGCGAAUCCCAAAAAGCCGGUCUCAGUUCGGAUUGGGGUCUGCAACUCGACCCCAUGAAGUCGGAGUCGCUAGUAAUCGCAGAUCAGCAACGCUGCGGUGAAUACGUUCCCGGGCCUKGUACACACCGCCCGUCAAGUCACGAAAGUCGGUAACACCCU
RNAcentral lists this ribosomal RNA (1328 nucleotides) under Cellulomonas cellasea. RNAcentral describes it as "bacterial SSU rRNA". It matches the Rfam family "Bacterial small subunit ribosomal RNA", at positions 88 to 1423 of the family's 1533-position model. The record is from RNAcentral. Lineage: Bacteria; Bacillati; Actinomycetota; Actinomycetes; Micrococcales; Cellulomonadaceae.